RNAcentral lists this ribosomal RNA (481 nucleotides) under uncultured bacterium. RNAcentral describes it as "bacterial SSU rRNA". It matches the Rfam family "Bacterial small subunit ribosomal RNA", at positions 501 to 985 of the family's 1533-position model. The record is from RNAcentral.
CUACGUGCCAGCAGCCGCGGUAAUACGGAAGGUCCGGGCGUUAUCCGGAUUUAUUGGGUUUAAAGGGAGCGUAGGCCGGGGAUUAAGUGUGUUGUGAAAUGUAGACGCUCAACGUCUGACUUGCAGCGCAUACUGGUUUCCUUGAGUACGCACAACGUUGGCGGAAUUCGUCGUGUAGCGGUGAAAUGCUUAGAUAUGACGAAGAACUCCGAUUGCGAAGGCAGCUGACGGGAGCGCAUCUGACGCUUAAGCUCGAAGGUGCGGGUAUCGAACAGGAUUAGAUACCCUGGUAGUCCGCACAGUAAACGAUGGAUGCCCGCUGUUGGUACCUGGUAUCAGCGGCUAAGCGAAAGCAUUAAGCAUCCCACCUGGGGAGUACGCCGGCAACGGUGAAACUCAAAGGAAUUGACGGGGGCCCGCACAAGCGGAGGAACAUGUGGUUUAAUUCGAUGAUACGCGAGGAACCUUACCCGGGCUUGAA